Molecule: long non-coding RNA, 5630 nt
Filed under: Nicotiana tabacum (common tobacco)
Lineage: Eukaryota; Viridiplantae; Streptophyta; Magnoliopsida; Solanales; Solanaceae
Description: long non-coding RNA (NTAB_LNC003233)
Source: RNAcentral
GGAAAUUGGACAAAGCGACAAAUCACGAAGAAAGAAAGACUCGCCACUCCCUCUCAAACAUUAAUACAUCUGAAUACAAAGUACGUAAAUAAUAAAACAAGAGUUUAUAUUCAAAACUCGAAGAAGCAUCAACUGAAGUUUGGGACUGCAGGGCCAAACUUCAAACAUUACCAGGUUAAAUUUCGUCUGAAGUUUGCAACUAUCAUGCCAGGAAAAAUUAUCUGAAGUUCAAAUAUAACAAGUUAAUUUUGUCUAAAGUUUGCAUUACAAAUUAGUAUGAAGUUUGCACUACAAACUAAAGAACUUCAGACUAAUUUAUCUGAAGUUUGCACUACAAACUGAAGAACUUCAGACUAAUUUGUCUGAAGUUUGCAUUAUGAAAUGAAGUUUUUUUGAUUGCUUUUGCAAAUUAGGCCAAACUUCAGAUGAAAGUAUCUGAAGUUUACUUUGAUAAGGUCAUACUUCAGGCAAAAAAAUUUGAAGUUCAAACUUCAGACAUAAAUCGUUGCUACUUAAAGCCCUGUAUGUCUGAAGUUACCCGAAAAGUAAGUAGGCUUGCAAUUUUUUUUCCAAACAGAUAUAAGUAAAAUUGUGACCUAAAAAUUGUAUAUAGAUGCAAAUCCCCCCAUGUUAUGAGCCUUUUAAAACUUCCGCACAAUCAGACCAAGUUAUGAGCCUUUAAAUGGGCUAACUUAUUGGUUGGCUUAUUGAUGUAUAGUUAGGCGCAUUUGUAUCUAUACUCAUUUUUUGGGUCACAUUUUAACUUGUGCCCGCUUUGCAAAAAAAAUUGUAAGUGUACCCACUUUUUCGCGUAACUUCAGCAUACGAGGCUGAAGUAGCAAAGAUAAUCACGAAAAACUUCAGUAUUCUAGUAGACGGGACUGAAGUAGCAAGUUUUUGUUUUUGUAACUGACGAACUUCAGCUCUAGAGCUGAAGUUUUUGUUUUGUAACUGGCAAACUUCAGCUCUAGAGCUGAAGUUUUUGUUUUGUAACUUGCGAACUUCAGUUCUAGAGCAGAAGUUUUUAUUUUUGUAACUGGCGAACUCUCUAGAGCUGAAGUUUUUAUUUUGUGGCAGGAACAACUUCAGCUCUGAAGUUGUUUCUGCCUAGAUAUAGCUUUUUCACACUGAUUAUUGGAUAAUUUUUUAGUAGUGUGUUCCUAAAUGGAAAGGCUUUUGGCUAUUAUCAUAAUGAUUCUUGCUCUCCUUAACAAAACUUGAAUAGCUAUAGUCUAAUACACCUUGCAUUUUACCUUUAUUUACUUUUCGGUUUGUGUCCCCCUUAACUUCUUGUAAAAUGUUAUCACAACGAUUAUUAUCCUCCUUCAACAAAGCUUGCAUAUUUUUACAUUUAUAAAAUUCAAUCAUCAAUAGGUCUUACAUCUUACCAUAAUGAUCAGCAGCAAGAAGAGAGGAGCAUCGCCAUCAGGAAAGUAAAUCUGUUGAAGGGAUUCCGGCAGAUUGAAGCUACUCGUCCCUUUGAAAAGUUGCAAGUUAGAGUCACCUUCUUCUCCAGCACACAAUCUGUGCAGUGUUUAAAGAGGUUGAGGGCGGAUAUAACUUUGAGGAGGAGAAGGAGGAGGAGAAAAGGGGCUAAAGUUGUUUAAAAAAUGAGUACAAGUUUAAACUUUUAAAAAAAAGUGGAUAUAAGUUAAAUGGGGGCGACCAAAUAGGGCACCCCGUGCAAUUUUUACGUGAAGGCAAGCAACUAUAGAUUCAAAAAUUAGACAUGUAAUUACACAAACUGACAAACUUAAUCAUAAUAACAACUGAGAACUUUAAAUUUGUUUCAAUGUAAAUUUAAGGGAAACUACCAGCUAUGUCCAUUUAUAAGUAACUCAUUACAAAAAUUGAUUAAUUCAUAAAAUAUUACUAAUAUUAGCCAAUUAACUAUUUGUAGCAAAAAAUAUCAAAUUUUUGCUUUCUUUUGAAUGAGUGCUAUUAGAAUAGAUUGUGUACAUCUUAAGGAGCUUGAAUCUCAGUUUUUAGAUGAUUUGGUGAAGUUUUGAGGUGAUUUGAAUUGAAAAUUCGAAGUAAAAACUGAAUAUGAAAAAAAAUGAUAUGUGUAUCACACUGUAUAUCAUUUAUGUAUCACACAUGUGUCAUAUUUGUAUCAAUUGUGUAUCACAUGUAUAUCCACGUAUACUUGUGUGUGAGAUACAUGCAUGAUACAUGUUUGAUACAUAUGUCGCAGAAGAAUUUUUUAAACUUGAUUUAACUACGAAUUUUGAUACAAAACCAGUCCAAAUUACCUCCAACCUUCCUCAAAUUUUGUUUAUUGACUUAUCCAUAUGUUUUCAAUGAAUUGCAACUAUACCCAUUGAAAAAGUUCCUUUUUUUGCUUAGAUUUUUGGAAUAUUAUAUUUUUUUUUUUUUGGUAUUUCAUCACCUUAUUCACUACCUCAUCCAUAAAAUUUCCUUUCCGUCUUGCAUCUAAUGUUGCUAAUCAUGCUUAAAAACAUGGAAGGUGAUUUUUGCAUGUGAUUCUUUGAGAGAAAGAACCUUAUUUAUUUAGUUUUUCAAUUUUUAUAUGUGUUUGGCUAGUUUUAGUAAGUUUAUGACUAAUGACUAGAGGUUAAUAAGUUGAGACUUAUUUGAAACAUUUGUGUAAGUUUCCCUAAAUUUAAUACUAUCAUAAUGACUAUCCUUAACAAAUACAGUCUCGAACGCUAGAAAAUUUUUUUAAAAAAACAUGCGUUUUGCUUUUAGAUUCAUCCAUCAUUGCUUGCAGAAAUGCAUGAUUAUUUUUAAACUCAAUUCAACAUUGCCUGGAAUUUUCAAUCAACAAAUUUGAGCUACUGGUGAUCAAAAUCAUGGAUUAAGCAUUUCUAAACUUCAAAAAAUACCUCGCAAGCCAUGAUCAGGUUAUUAUUCAACUGAAAAAACACUAAAGGAAUCCUAGGUCAAGUGACAAUAAAUUCAGUUCUAGUACAAGAGAUUCACACAAUUAGCUAUCAAUUUGAUUGAACUGUAAAUCAGCAAAUAUAAUUCUCCGUGUAACCAGCAAUUUCAAAUUAAGUGAUAGCUUAUACGAGCAGUUUAACAGCUGUGAUGAUCCGAUAGGUUAUUUAUAGUUUUAACCCUUUAUUCUCUCUUUUGAAACCUUGAAUAGCUACGUUUAGCCUUUCUCGAUUGUCACACCUCUUUUUUACCAAACUUCACUAUACCCUCUUAAAUAAAUAAAUAAAUAAAAUUUAGCAAAGCUCGAAAGGGUUUUUCAAUCUUGAAAGUGACAAAGGAUAGUGUUCAAAAGGAAAUAACUCAGAAUCGCCACCUAGCAUUAUUUUUUUGGUGUGCCAGGUCACCAUUUUUUAGAAAAUAUUUUUCCUUUUAAAAACACUUGGACUCAAAACUAAGUCUGCACCAGAGAUUCGGGUAAGGGGGUUCAUUUGACUCGGGGAGAAGGUGUUAAGCACCCCCCAGGUCCCGUGAAGGUCACGGUUGCGCACUCGAUCUAGUUGGCUUUUAGAAUAUUCAAGUUGGUGUAAAAAUAACACAGAAAAGAAAAAAAAAUAAACACACAAAAGGCUCGAGGUCGUCCCUACCUAAUAAAAGAAAAUGAAAAGGAAAAGGAAAGAAAAGUCCUAAGCUAACCUAUACUACGACUUCUCCACCAUGCUCAUCAAGGCCUCCAAAAUAUUUACAUAGUUCUUCACGGUAUACCCCGGAUAAUAAUAUUUACAAACUUCAUGGGGCAUUCCCCGGAUAAAUUUAAUUAAGGAACAACCUCUCACCUUAAAACUAACAAAUAUUCUAAGGCUUGCCUACCCAAAUGUGGUCAGCCUAAGCAUGCUCCUAGCGAGUACUAACAUCGAUAAAGAAGAUAAAAGGAACUAUAAAAGAACUAAGUAAAGGAACACAUCAACUCAUGCCCAUGUCUUGUUUUUUAACUUUUAUUUUUAUUAGACCGGGCCCGACGCCAAAAGCAUGGAGACAAAUCAAUUGCUAAUGGGCAUCGGUCUUUUCCCACUCCCCCGCGACCCAACAAUCAUACAAAAUGCCAAUCAAGUAAGGGAGAACGAAUUCCAAAUCACACAAGGAAAAGAGCAUAUGGAAUGACAACGAAAUAAAGGCAUGGUGGAUUAAAAUAUUAUAAGGGACAUAUAAAUCUAGCCAACCCGCCUCACUUUUUCACUUUUCUGUAUGUUGUUAUAUCACAACAUGAAUGAGCAGUGGCUUAAACAUUCAAGUUGGUCACCUUAGAGUUAGAAAACAAAGACAUCCUUAACCAAAUAGUAACGACAGAUGUUGCAGGAAUACUAAGUGAUGCUCACACCAAACAAUAUGUCAUUUUCAUAAUUAACUUAACAUUUUCGAACCAAGCAGGGUGCAAACCAAUCUUAGAAGCCUUUAACAAAAAUGUCUUGAACCUAACCAUGUGGAUAUUGUGAGAUUAACAGAAGCAUACAAGCCAAAAAAACAUGUCAAUUCGGUCACUGUUAGUUCAAACUUCCAUGCUUAACUUCACAAGGAUUAACGUUUUCCUUUAUCACUUAAGCGCAGGGAGAUCAAGGCACACAAACAGAACAUCAAUUUCAGUUCUUAAUGUGCAAUCAAGUUAGCAAAUGCCAUAACUCCCAUUCAGAUGUAACAAUCAGUCAAGCCCAAAACUAUCAUAAAUUCGAUCUGUUUACCCGUAACGAAGUAGUUCAAAAACUCAAUUGAAGAUCAGAUUUGAAAAUGUGGAAAAGAUAGCGAUGAGAACACAUAUUAAACUCAUGCACAAGCUGAACAAUCCACCAGAAAGCAAUUAAAUCAAAAACAACCAGCCACAAUCACUACGAAUCCAUAUUAAUAAUUUCUGAGGAUCGAUUCAAAAUAAGAAAGUCAAGGCGAAUAGGGAAUGAACCUGUUGGGGCGAAUUUUUCUUAAAUAACAGCAGGAGAUUCAGUGAUAAUUCAACUUCAAUUUCCAGAAUUCAAACGAGAUACAACUUCAAAAUUGGAAAGAAACCUCGAACAAGAACUCGAAACGGCACUGGAAUUUCGAAUCCGAACACGAACUCCAACUCGUACUUCAAUCCAUUUGUAUGUUGUAGUCGAGAUUGAAAUCGAGGGAAGCAGCAGAAAUUUUCUUUUUUUCUUUUCUUAAUAUGUAUGAAAACGAAAACGGAAAUCCAAAGAAGAAUCUGGAAGUCCCAAAAUUAAACCCUAGAACCCUUUCCUUCCGAUUUUUCUCUAAAUUUUUCCCCUAUCUUUUCUGUUCACCCCCCAAAAUCUGAGAAACCACCCCAAUAUAUAGGGGGUCUCGAACCAUCUAUGCUUCCUCGCCAAGAAAUCGAUUUUUAUCUCCAAAUCCGAAAAAAGAACUCCAAAAUUCCGAAAAUCUCCUUAUUUUCGGUAAAAAUCUGGGCAGAUGGAGGGUAUGAUUAAUUUUCAUUAAUCAUAUCCUACCCUUCGUCCAUCAUCUACUGUUGAAAGAGAUUCACAUGUUAGAAAACAUAUCAAAAACGCGGAUAAGAAAGAGUAAGGGAAUAUUCGAACCAAAAUCGGUUAUUUGUCAGGCCACAUGGAAGAAAGAGAGAAGGGAAAGGGGGACAAUGAAUUAACUCGCUAGAAUCAGUGAGUGUUCCGGCGAGUUUUGGGCGAGCGGAAGGUGGCAGAGAUGAGGGGCGCCGUUUUAGGUUGAUC